CCUACGGGUGGCAGCAGUGGGGAAUAUUGGGCAAUGGGCGCAAGCCUGACCCAGCAACGCCGCGUGAAGGAUGAAGGCUUUCGGAUUGUAAACUUCUGUCGCGGGGGACGAAGAAUGACGGUACCUCGUAAGAAAGCCCCGGCUAACUACGUGCCAGCAGCCGCGGUAAUACGUAGGGGGCAAGCGUUGUCCGGAAUGACGGGGCGUAAAGGGCGUGUAGGCGGCGUAUCAAGUUAGAUGUGAAAUCCCGGGGCUGAACCGCGGAACUGCAUCUAAAACUGGUGAGGUGGAGUGCAGGAGAGGGGAGUGGAAUUCCUGGUGUAGCGGUGGAAUGCGUAGAGAUGAGGAGGAACACCAGAGGCGAAGGCGACUCACUGGAC
This 380-nucleotide ribosomal RNA is filed under the name uncultured bacterium. RNAcentral's name for it is "partial 16S ribosomal RNA". It matches the Rfam family "Bacterial small subunit ribosomal RNA", at positions 338 to 734 of the family's 1533-position model. The record is from RNAcentral.